UGUGUGUCACCCUUUGGGACUCCCAAUCACUGCCGGUUGUGAUACAGCCUGGAUCUUUUCAAAGAGCUCUUACACCAAAGGCAUUAUCCUUUUCACAAUAUUAUUACAACUACAUAGUGUGGGUAUAUAUAUAUACAAAACGUUGACUGCAAUGGGCCUUUAAUCUAACCAUGAUUGCGUUCUGACCCCAGUGCAGCUCAAUGUAAACAAGCGCAACGUUAGAAUCUUCUGGCUAACAGUAAGGUUAGCUGUAUUGUUCGCAACUUAUGUCACAUUUACUUUGUACUGACAAGUUGUCUGCAAGAGUUAGCUAACGUGGUCAGAACGAACAUAUUGGAGGAAACUAGCCAGCUAAAUUUAGAAAAUUUAGCAAGCCAACUAACGUUCGCAAGCUAGCUUAGCUGGCUAAAUAGCUAGCUAGCUUCUAUGASGCCUUAAACGUGACCUUUCCUUUUAUCAACAACCAAACGCAGUUUAUUUUGUGGAGUAAAGUUACAUUUUGGUUGUCAGUGUGUGAUGAGGAUAAGUUGACUCAUGAGUUCCUCGGGGAGUCUCGMGUUCCCCUGAAGCGUAUCAAGCCAGACCAGACCAAACACUUCCACACCUGUCUGGAACACUCACCCCCACUACCCUCUCCAACCACCACAGGGACAGCUGAGGAAUCUCCUGCUACUUAAGAGAGGUGCUUUCCCCUUUCCUUCCUCCCUCCUUCUUGUUCCUCCCUCCUUCUUGCU
This is a long non-coding RNA of Salvelinus sp. IW2-2015, 734 nucleotides long. RefSeq lists it as uncharacterized. NCBI's taxonomy places the organism in Eukaryota, Metazoa, Chordata, Actinopteri, Salmoniformes, Salmonidae. The record is from RefSeq and is a predicted model, not a curated record.